AUCAAUCUUCUUACUAUGAGAUUAAGAGAUCUUUAGAGUAAUCAGAAUAAAGAGAGUGUUUAAGAAGUGAUUAAGAGAAGUUUGUGAGAGAUUAAGAUACUAGAUAGAGCCGUUUAGAGUCUAAGAGAAAACCAUAGUGUCUAAGAGAUUAGAGAGACUCAAACUGCAUAAUCUUAUUAGUGUUGAUGAGUUACAAUAUAUAGGGAGCUACUAGGGUUUACAAAUCGCAAAGGUAAAGAGAAGCAUGUGGAGUCAAGGUUAAGGAUUCAAAUCAACACUAUAAGCAUCACACA
Molecule: long non-coding RNA, 293 nt
Organism: Brassica rapa (field mustard)
Lineage: Eukaryota; Viridiplantae; Streptophyta; Magnoliopsida; Brassicales; Brassicaceae
Source: RefSeq, a predicted model, not a curated record